Molecule: ribosomal RNA, 441 nt
Filed under: Latreutes fucorum
Lineage: Eukaryota; Metazoa; Arthropoda; Malacostraca; Decapoda; Hippolytidae
Description: partial 16S ribosomal RNA
Rfam family: Archaeal large subunit ribosomal RNA
Source: RNAcentral
UACAUGGGUAUAAUAUUAAAUGUAGUCCAGCCUGCCCACUGAAUAUAAAUUUUAAAGGGCCGCGGUACACUGACCGUGCUAAGGUAGCAUAAUCAAUAGUCUUUUAAUUGGAGACUGGAAUGAACGGCUAGAUAAAAAGUUUACUGUCUAUAAAAUAAAUCUUGAAUUUUACUUUUAAGUGAAAAGGCUUAAAUAUAUUAAAGUGACGAUAAGACCCUAUAAAACUUUAUAAUAAAUUAUGAUUAUCUUAAAUUUUAAAUCAAAAUAUAUUUCAUAUAUUACUAUUUAGUUGGGGCGACUGAGAUAUAAAAAAUCUGUCUUUAGUAAAAAAUACUUAUAAUUAGAUCAAGAUCCUUUAUUAAGGAUUAAAAGGCUAAGUUACUUUAGGGAUAACAGCGUGAUUUUUCUUAAGAGUUCUUAUCGACAGAAUAAGUUGCGACC